AUGAUCUAUGGACUGAGGUUCAUGACAUUGUACAGGAGACAGGGAUCAAGACCAUCCCCAUGGAAAAGAAAUGCAAAAAAAGCAAAAUGGCUGUCUGGGGAGGCCUUACAAAUAGCUGUGAAAAGAAGAGAAGCAAAAAGCAAAGGAGAAAAGGAAAGAUAUAAGCAUCUGAAUGCAGAGUUCCAAAGAAUAGCAAGGAGAGAUAAGAAAGCCUUCCUCAGCGAUCAAUGCCAAGAAAUAGAGGAAAACAACAGAAUGGGAAAGACUAGAGAUCUCUUCAAGAAAAUUAGAGAUACCAAGGGAACAUUUCCUGCAAAGAUGGGCUCGAUAAAGGACAGAAAUGGUAUGGACCUAACAGAAGCAAAAGAUAUUAAGAAGAGGUGGCAAGAAUACACAGAAGAGCUGUACAAAAAAGAUCUUCACGACCCAGAUAAUCAUGAUGGUGUGAUCACUCACCUAGAGCCAGACAUCCUGGAAUGUGAAGUCAAGUGGGCCUUAGAAAGCAUCACUAUGAACAAAGCUAGUGGAGGUGAUGGAAUUCCAGUUGAGCUAUUUCAAAUCCUGAAAGAUGAUGCUGUGAAAGUGCUGCACUCAAUAUGCCAGCAAAUUUGGAAAACUCAGCAGUGGCCACAGGACUGGAAAAGGUCAGUUUUCAUUCCAAUCCCAAAGAAAGGCAAUGCCAAAGAAUGCUCAAGCUACUGCACAAUUGCACUCAUCUCACACGCUAGUAAAGGAAUGCUCAAAAUUCUCCAAGCCAGGCUUCAGCAAUACGUGAACCGUGAACUUCCAGGUGUUCAAGCUGGUUUUAGAAAAGGCAGAGGAACCAGAGGUCAAAUUGCCAACAUCCGCUGGAUCAUGGAAAAAGGAAGAGAGUUCCAGGAAAACAUCUAUUUCUGCUUUAUUGACUAUGCCAAAGCCUUUGACUGUGUGGAUCACAAGAAACUGUGGAAAAUUCUGAAAGAGAUGGGAAUACCAGACCACCUGACCUGCCUCUUGAGAAACCUAUAUACAGGUCAGGAAGCAAGCUAG
Molecule: long non-coding RNA, 1029 nt
Filed under: Bos indicus x Bos taurus (hybrid cattle)
Lineage: Eukaryota; Metazoa; Chordata; Mammalia; Artiodactyla; Bovidae
Description: lncRNA (ENSBIXG00005022010.1)
Source: RNAcentral